GGCAAGCAAGCUACGGGUGAAACAAGUGUCUGAAACGGCCGUGAGCUUUAGGGAAGAUUUUAAUGCUCUUUGUGGCCUCCUGCCUUUCUGGCUUUUGGAGUUAAUGGUCGCAUUGUAUCACGAUUUCUUUGUCCUUCUGGUUACCUCAUGGAGAAAGAUGUGCAAAAAGAGCAAAUCUUCUCAUUCUGGGGAACAUAAAGCCUGGGGCUCCCUUGCCUCUUGCUGAAGAAACGAGGAGUCACCUUUCAUUCUGGCACCGGUGCUGCAGCAGCGCUUUCAUCCGCUCCAGCUAGCUAAAGGGGGAUCUGGAGUCGAGGUUGAGAGUGCGUCACUGUGCUUGGUUAUGCGCCUCUGUUGUUCUCGGCUGCUUUUUUCAGAUGGUUAACCAUCUGAAAAUUGCUGCUUUUGCUGAUUUCCACCCCCCCACCCCCCCCUAUUUAUCAUGAAGUGAAAUUUAUUGGAGCAUAUGAAGACAACCCCUUCAGGCAGUUCUGUGUGGAUUAAAUAAGUCACAGUGAGGCCUUGAAUUUUGGUUUCGGUUUUGUACUCUACUUCAGGCAGCUUAUUCUAACACAUCCCUUUCACUUUCCUAUUCUCUAAGUCGUGGUGUCUCAUGCAAGUCCAGUGUAGAAGUGAUUCUUUGAAACUGUCACCGUGCAGCCUGGCAGUCCUGCAGCCUGACAUCGCACGGACCCCUCGGGGGUCGCAGCGGCUGAAAGAGCCCACGGUUUGAACACUUGGUUUUCCCAAAAGCGAAGAGCAAAGGUGACCAGGUAACGCUGCAAGCCGCCUCAGAGCUGGGGCACCAAGGCUUAGUACAACCCUUCCUCUCCUUCCCUCCAGGGUCAACACAAUUGCUGCCCAGUUUAAGCAUCAGUUACUUAACAUCACCUCUAACGUCUCUGUGCUGGUAUUUGGGAAGCGUGUUGGAAAGUAUUGCUUUUUACUCUGCAGCACCAUCAGCAGUUUCUUACCGGUGCUGAGGCUUUGCUAGAACAGUUACUAACAGGUUGACUGUAGAAAGUCAUCUUGAUACUAAAGGGUAUUGCGUAACUUAAAUGCUUAAUUUACCAACAGCCAGUAUGCUUUUUCUCACAUGCGAAGUUUUGUGCUAAAGGCGUCACUGUUAGUAUCUUUUCUAUUUCUGAUUGCUUUUAUCUUUUAGUAUUUUAAAAUUGGAAAGUCAUCAGAAACCACCACGGGUGGAAGGAUGGGAACCCCAGCUCCAGCGGGGGGGGGCGGCAUCUGCUUGAACUCUGUCCCUUCAGCUGGGAGGCCGUUGCCUUCCAGAGAUGUCUUCAAGCAAAGAGUGGUUAUUAAUUACACUAAAUUCUGAGCAGGUUACUGACCUAGAAUUUCUGCAGUUUCUUUUGGCUUCCGUUCUGCUUGCUUAGCUUCUGAAGCAGUGACUCAUCUAAGCCAAAUGUUUUCUUCUGGGCUUUUUAACUUGGAACUGUUUAGAUUUUAAACUGACAGUUGCAAUUAAAGCUGGCUCUCGUGGUGCCGCCCUAGCUGUCAGGUACUAAGCAACAUUUAACUGAAUGUAAUGUUCUUUCCCAGCUCCAGGUCUAUCAGUGUCUUUCUGUAAUUCCUCAUCUCCCGUGACCUGCCUGCGGCUCUGCAAGGGGAGGGUUUUAGCUUCCCCUUAGGUGCGGUGGCACGCUUGUCUUUUUGGACUGUAAACAACCCAGGAAGACAACACUCGGACUUCUUUUUAUCUAUAUGCGUCUGCUGCAGGAAUAGAAUGGUAGAUAACGGACUUGUGUGCAGCUGUGGCAUUGCCCUGGCAAAGCGUUGCGGUAAUUACUAACGUUACAAGCAUAACAAAAUGAGCCUGAACGCUGGCUGUGUAAGGAGGGUGGAGAAACCGAACCAGCCCUCUGAAUGGAGACGCUGUCUCUUGGUUUGGAAAUGUUUGUCCUGACGAGCUCUUUUGUAGGGAGGAAGGAGAUCUCUGCCUGCUAGCGCCUGCCUCUCCCGGCAGUGACCGCGCUCGGUGCUCCCCUGCCUGCGGCUUUCCCAAGUGCUACUGCCCUUGUGCAAAGCGCGGGGCAGGAAGGUGAGACGGGGAGGCUGUCACUUCCCAGUGAUUCAUCGGCUCUGCUUGGGUCCGGUGGGAGCCCAAGUGUAUCCGGAUUGUGUUCGCUUUGGCUCAGCGCGUGAAGCUCUGCCAUGGGACGCUGAGAGCACUUCCUCCUGACCAGACUCUGUUUACAAGGCCCCGCCGCUUUUACAAGGCCCCAGUUGCUAACAGAAUUUAGAAGUUAAAAUUUCUCUUGACAAAAAUAAAUCUAAACAGAC
Pygoscelis adeliae (Adelie penguin) is the source of this 2301-nucleotide long non-coding RNA. RefSeq lists it as uncharacterized. NCBI's taxonomy places the organism in Eukaryota, Metazoa, Chordata, Aves, Sphenisciformes, Spheniscidae. The record is from RefSeq and is a predicted model, not a curated record. The transcript is spliced from 2 exons.